RNAcentral lists this ribosomal RNA (492 nucleotides) under uncultured bacterium. Its description in RNAcentral is "partial 16S ribosomal RNA". It matches the Rfam family "Bacterial small subunit ribosomal RNA", at positions 29 to 507 of the family's 1533-position model. The record is from RNAcentral.
AGUGAACGCUGGCGGUAGGCCUAACACAUGCAAGUCGAACGGCAGCACAGUAAGAGCUUGCUCUUACGGGUGGCGAGUGGCGGACGGGUGAGGAAUACAUCGGAAUCUACUUUUUCGUGGGGGAUAACGUAGGGAAACUUACGCUAAUACCGCAUACGACGUACGGGUGAAAGCAGGGGAACUUCGGACCUUGCGCGAUUGAAUGAGCCGAUGUCGGAUUAGCUAGUUGGCGGGGUAAAGGCCCACCAAGGCGACGAUCCGUAGCUGGUCUGAGAGGAUGAUCAGCCACACUGGAACGGGGACACGGUCCAGACUCCUACGGUAGGCAGCAGUGGGGAAUAUUGGACAAUGGUCGCAAGCCUGAUCCAGCCAUACCGCGUGGGUGAAGAAGGCCUUCGGGUUGUAAAGCCCUUUUGUUGGGAAAGAAAAGCAGCAGGUUAAUACCCCGCUGUUCUGACGGUACCCAAAGAAUAAGCACCGGCUAACUUCGUG